This 135-nucleotide ribosomal RNA is filed under the name uncultured bacterium. RNAcentral describes it as "partial 16S ribosomal RNA". It matches the Rfam family "Bacterial small subunit ribosomal RNA", at positions 355 to 507 of the family's 1533-position model. The record is from RNAcentral.
UGGGGAAUAUUGGACAAUGGGCGCAAGCCUGAUCCAGCCAUGCCGCGUGAGUGAUGAAGGCCUUAGGGUUGUAAAGCUCUUUCGUCCGGGACGAUAAUGACGGUACCGGAAGAAGAAGCCCCGGCUAACUUCGUG